Molecule: long non-coding RNA, 598 nt
Organism: Harpia harpyja (harpy eagle)
Lineage: Eukaryota; Metazoa; Chordata; Aves; Accipitriformes; Accipitridae
Exons: 2
Source: RefSeq, a predicted model, not a curated record
GGUGGGGGCAGAGAACAGCGAUGCUCUGGCUGGCCUCAGCCUCUCGUGUCACUUGGUCUUCCUCAGCGUAUCGGUUCUGGGGAGCUCAGCCCAGCUUCCAGUAGCCUGCUGUGGCCUCAGAUUUUAUACUCGCUUUGCCCCUCUCAGAAAGCGUUCUCUGAGUCAGAAAAUAUGGCAGAUGGCAGUUUGUGAGAAGAAAACAGCUCUUCAGUGCCAGAUUUAAGUGAGCACCAGGAAAGUGCUGACAUCUCUAUGAGAAGGUUAUCUGCUCCCCUCUCCAGCUUGUGCCGCUUCCAGCAGUGAGUGCGGUCAGCUCAGCACCGCAGCGUGCCCGCUUUCAGAGCUUGUGGGAACUUUAUUACCUGCCUAAACAAAGUUAAGUACGGCUGAAGGAUGAGAUUUUAAAGCAUUUAUUGAUUUUCCUUUAAUAUUUUGUUAUUUCUUUUCCAUCAGUACAAUAUUUACUUUAUCUAGUGCACUGCGGUAUAAGUCUGUUCCCAGAAAAUUAUGCCCAUAAUGUUAUUUUCAUAUAUGGGCAUACAGAGAUAAAAUGAAAGAUUGCCUGUAACUCACUUAAAAUAAAUAACACAAAACACCA